RNAcentral lists this ribosomal RNA (468 nucleotides) under uncultured bacterium. RNAcentral's name for it is "SSU rRNA". It matches the Rfam family "Bacterial small subunit ribosomal RNA", at positions 26 to 518 of the family's 1533-position model. The record is from RNAcentral.
AGGACGAACGCUUGCGGCGUGCCUAAGAAAUGCAAGUCGAACGGGAGCUUCGGCUCUAGUGGCGAACGGUCGCGUAACACGUGGGCAACCUGCCCUGAAGCGGGGGACAACAGUUCGAAAGGACUGCUAAUACCGCAUGUGGAUCCGAGAGGCAUCUCUUGUAUCUAAAGGCUUCGGCCACUUCAGGAUGGGCCCGCGGCCUAUCAGUUAGUUGGUGGGGUAACGGCCUACCAAGACUUCGACGGGUAGCUGGUCUGAGAGGACGACCAGCCGGAUUGGGACUGAGAUACGGCCCAGACUCCUACGGGGGGGCAGCAAUUAGGAAUCUUGCGCAAUGGGGGAAACCCUGACGCAGCGACGCCGCGUGAAGGAUGAAGUAUCUAGGUAUGUAAACUUCUUUUAUUAGGGAAGAAGAAUGUGACGGUACCUAAUGAAUAACGCCCGGACUAACUACGCGCCAGCAGCCGC